Molecule: long non-coding RNA, 2037 nt
Organism: Engraulis encrasicolus (European anchovy)
Lineage: Eukaryota; Metazoa; Chordata; Actinopteri; Clupeiformes; Engraulidae
Exons: 5
Source: RefSeq, a predicted model, not a curated record
AUCUCGAAGGAUUGCGUCUCAUUUAUCACGCAAACCAAACUCAAAAUUGCGUCAAUAUAAGGACGCAUUCUCUUUUAUGUCACACAUGCGCAGUGGCCACUCUGCUGUCUGGAGCCCCCCUGACAUCUUUGUAGCCUAAUUUACUGAAAAAUAAGCCGUUAUUCAUGUUGCUCCACAUAACCGCGUAUUGCAACUUCAUAAUUAAAUCCCCACAACAAAAUACUGAGCUUAUGGGCUAUUUUAGUCACAUUUUAGUUCCUAGACAAAAGUCUGUUUUGCUAGGAUAUUAAUAAAAUAACAGAAACUGUUUUAUCCUAUACGAGAGCAUUUGUAGUAUUUGUCCAGAAGACUUUUGUGGCUGAAAACCAUUCAACCAGUAAGGUUUUUGAAAUAUUCAUUGUAAAUAACCCUGAUGUACCCCCACUGUUUAUGAUGAUGUCAUUUCAUCGCGACCUCCAUGCAUUGGAUUGUGGAUUUGAUUGUACUGCCUGCAGUCUGAUGUGGUUUGGCUGAGCUUUAUUCAUCAAUUGUUUUACGUCUCCAGUUUUCCCUGAGGUCCAAAAUAUUCAGUGGAGUGAAACUGUUGAUGGCAGCAAAAUGUAACAAGCUUGUCCUGGAGGACUGCUCUGAUGGGGAAUGCUGUGGAGGAGAGACAGGCAGACUGUGGUCCAUCGUGUGUGCUCCCAGUGCGUUAAUACACGGACAGUCCUUUUUAAGUGCAACCAGAGGAAUAAUGUGAUUGAGAGGAAGAGUGGCCCCAUACAUUGCUUGACCUGGAGCCUACCAAAGUCUAAGGUCUCAGGUGUCUCCAGAAGAACACAUCCCAAUGAAGACCCCAGUCAUAGUCAUCAACUUGACAGCUCAGCCUGUUACUUGAACUGUGUUCUUAGAGCCAAGUGUAACUGAGGUGUUUCCACACAGUCUGUCCCCCUUGGAUCUUGAACUUGCCACCACCUAGUCAACGCAUCGGUUCGGGUAUGGGAGGCACAGCACGAUACCGCUGAGCUAAAUGACCAGUCCCAUAGCUCAGCGCUGCUGGUACUGUAUGAGGCUUCGGGAGGGAGGUUUACUAUCCUUCCACGCCACACUCUGCUAGUUGGCCUCCGUUACACAAGCUCGAAUAAUCCAAGCAGUCAAUCCAACUUCUUCAGCACUGCCUUUGAACACUAUGAAGAACCACUCAGAACCACUGGUCCUAGAACUAAAUGACCACAUUAUACUGUUAAAGGUCCACUGUGUAGGAUGGUGAUCAGAGCAGGUAUUGCACCUGUGCUGCUCAUUGCAACUGUGCUACCUAUUGUCCAUUUUGACAUUUGAAUUUUCAAGAAUUUUACCAAGUAUUUACUAGUAUGUACCAAUAUUUACUAGUAUGACCAAAAUACAGUACAUUAUGCAACUAAAUUCAAGAUGGUGGACAAUGGACUCCUUUCAUGUUUUCAUGAAAAGUGUAAUUUUCCCAGUCAUAAUGAAUACUCAGAAUUUGAUGGUGGUAAGUAUUCUGAAAAAGGUUACAUUUGUGAAUGGCCUGAAUGAAUUCUGGAAAGAAACUGCUUAAAAAUAUUACACAGCGUACCUUUUAACAUUUCAUCUGUAGUAACAGAAUGUAGCGUUUCUCAGCUGCGACUCAAACCUAGACCCUCUUUCGUGGUGGUUGUUGUAAUGACACACUAAAAGCGAUAAUAUCUGCAUGAAGCUGCUCAGAAAGUGUCACUGGAUAUAUACCUUGAUAAAAGCAACAGAAUCUUCAAAGAAGAACAGAUACAAAAUGGGAUGCAUGCAUCAUGACAUUCCAACUGGUUGCAGUGAUAUUCAUGGAAAUGUCUAAUGCCUUUUCACCAUUAACUUAAACUUCUUUUAUGUUCUGUUCUUGUCUCUUUGUUAUGAUUGAAUUAGGAGUUUUAAUUUACACAAAAGCUGACACAUGUCCCACCUUUCUGUUAAGACUUGGUCCUAAGUGUUCUGAUUUGUUUGCUGUUUUAUACCUUGUGAAUAUUGAUGAUUUUUUAAUGAUUUUUUAAUAAACUGUUUUGAUCAUUA